UACGUAGGGUGCGAGCGUUGUCCGGAAUUAUUGGGCGUAAAGAGCUCGUAGGCGGUGUGUCGCGUCGGCCGUGAAAACCUGCAGCUUAACUGUGGGCUUGCGGUCGAUACGGGCAUCACUGGAGUUCGGCAGGGGAGACUGGAAUUCCUGGUGUAGCGGUGAAAUGCGCAGAUAUCAGGAGGAACACCGGUGGCGAAGGCGGGUCUCUGGGCCGAUACUGACGCUGAGGCGCGAAAGCUAGGGGAGCAAACGGG
Molecule: ribosomal RNA, 254 nt
Filed under: uncultured bacterium
Lineage: Bacteria
Description: partial 16S ribosomal RNA
Rfam family: Bacterial small subunit ribosomal RNA
Source: RNAcentral